Molecule: ribosomal RNA, 812 nt
Filed under: Chaetomium ovatoascomatis
Lineage: Eukaryota; Fungi; Ascomycota; Sordariomycetes; Sordariales; Chaetomiaceae
Description: partial large subunit ribosomal RNA
Rfam family: Eukaryotic large subunit ribosomal RNA
Source: RNAcentral
GCGAGUGAAGCGGCAACAGCUCAAAUUUGAAAUCUGGCUUCGGCCCGAGUUGUAAUUUGCAGAGGAAGCUUUAGGCGCGGCACUUUCUGAGUCCCCUGGAACGGGGCGCCAUAGAGGGUGAGAGCCCCGUAUAGUUAGAUGCCUAGCCUGUGUAAAGCUCCUUCGACGAGUCGAGUAGUUUGGGAAUGCUGCUCAAAAUGGGAGGUAAAUUUCUUCUAAAGCUAAAUACCGGCCAGAGACCGAUAGCGCACAAGUAGAGUGAUCGAAAGAUGAAAAGCACUUUGAAAAGAGGGUUAAAUAGCACGUGAAAUUGUUGAAAGGGAAGCGCUUGUGACCAGACUUGCGCCGGGCAGAUCAUCCGGUGUUCUCACCGGUGCACUCUGCCCGGCUCAGGCCAGCAUCGGUUCUCGCGGGGGGAUAAAGGCCCUGGGAACGUAGCUCCUCCGGGAGUGUUAUAGCCCGGGGCGUAAUGCCCUCGCGGGGACCGAGGUUCGCGCAUCUGCAAGGAUGCUGGCGUAAUGGUCAUCAGCGACCCGUCUUGAAACACGGACCAAGGAGUCAAGGUUUUGCGCGAGUGUUUGGGUGUAAAACCCGCACGCGUAAUGAAAGUGAACGUAGGUGAGAGCUUCGGCGCAUCAUCGACCGAUCCUGAUGUUUUCGGAUGGAUUUGAGUAGGAGCGUUAAGCCUUGGACCCGAAAGAUGGUGAACUAUGCUUGGAUAGGGUGAAGCCAGAGGAAACUCUGGUGGAGGCUCGCAGCGGUUCUGACGUGCAAAUCGAUCGUCAAAUCUGAGCAUGGGGGCGAAAGACUAA